This 767-nucleotide unclassified non-coding RNA is filed under the name Hevea brasiliensis (rubber tree). Lineage: Eukaryota; Viridiplantae; Streptophyta; Magnoliopsida; Malpighiales; Euphorbiaceae. The record is from RNAcentral.
UUCGAGUACAAAGUCAAAAAGGUUACUUCCUGUAUAUAUAUCUUAAAGGCAAAAUGUAUACACAUGAUCUUGAUUCAAUAUUAAACAUCACUUCAACAUUAAAACGAAGAAAACUAUGAAAACUUAGCGAUUGUGGCAGCAUGUGACAUGCCAUGAGACCGUCCAAUAUGUGUAAGCUAUAACUAGCCAAUUGCAGUAUUGUUUCUUACUAUUUAGCACCAAAACUGAAGUACAAAAAGCUCAUACCAAUUCAACAAAGCAUAACACACCAGUAGUUCAAAAUGAAUACUCCUUCAGGUCGGACUCCGACUCGCCCAUUGCCAAUUCUACCGUGCACUCUUCUUCAGUCAAAGGUGGAAGAUUCUUGGUUUUGCGCUUGACAUUAUGCUUAUGCCAUUCACUCUUGUGAUGCUCUCUAAACUGAGUAGCAUCCCCCACAACUACGUUGCAUGUGCUGCAGCGUUUUCCUUCCUUCGGGGCAUUCUCGCCAUUGACAGAGAUUGUCUGCUUUUGUAAAGCUUCACUUAGCUGGGGAAUAGCCGAUUCCGGUUCCUUUACUUGCCUUGGUGGCAGUUCCAUAUUCUCAUAAUCAUCGUCGUAUUGAUCCACAUUGGUGUCCCCUUCCUCGUGCAAACAAAAAGAGAGAACUUCAAAUCUGCCUUGUAGUUCACUCAUUAAUGGAUUACAGUCUCGAUAAAAGCUAGGAUCCAAUUCACAAAUAAUGCUUCGUUGCUGAUUUCCAGACUGAUCAUUGGAAAUGAUACUAG